Molecule: unclassified non-coding RNA, 307 nt
Filed under: Hevea brasiliensis (rubber tree)
Lineage: Eukaryota; Viridiplantae; Streptophyta; Magnoliopsida; Malpighiales; Euphorbiaceae
Source: RNAcentral
GGAAGGCAAAGAUGAAGAAUGAAAUGAAGAGGAGAAGGAUUGUGAUGAAAUGGGACUAGAAAUAGGAUGGGAUAAAGGACUAGGACCAGGGUCAAUUGGAGGAGUGGUAAAUGAGGUCGGAAUAUCAGAAUGAGAAAGAAUAGGAAGUGGGAUGACUUGUAAUGACUAAUCAGAAUCAUGAUGAAUAAACUCAUCAAAAGGGAAAAUAUGCUUAAAAAAUAAGACAUCUCUACUAACAAAGAUUUUAUCAAUUUGCAAAUCCAACAAUUUAUACCCUUUCUGAGCGCUGGGAUAACCUAAGAACAGA